RNAcentral lists this ribosomal RNA (253 nucleotides) under uncultured bacterium. RNAcentral describes it as "partial 16S ribosomal RNA". It matches the Rfam family "Bacterial small subunit ribosomal RNA", at positions 524 to 776 of the family's 1533-position model. The record is from RNAcentral.
GACGAGGGAUCCUAGCGUUGCUCGGAAUUAUUGGGCGUAAAGCGGGUGUAGGUGGCUUGGUAAGUCGGGUGUGAAAGCCCAGGGCUCAACCCUGGAAGUGCAUUCGAUACUGCUGAGCUUGAGUGCGAGAGAGGUUAAUAGAAUACCUGGUGUAGUGGUGAAAUACGUAGAUAUCAGGUGGAACACCGGAGGCGAAGGCGGUUAACUGGCUCGACACUGACACUGAGACCCGAAAGCGUGGGGAUCAAACAGG